This 404-nucleotide ribosomal RNA is filed under the name uncultured bacterium. Its description in RNAcentral is "bacterial SSU rRNA". It matches the Rfam family "Bacterial small subunit ribosomal RNA", at positions 355 to 776 of the family's 1533-position model. The record is from RNAcentral.
UGGGGAAUAUUGGACAAUGGGGGCAACCCUGAUCCAGCCAUGCCGCGUGAGUGAAGAAGGCCUUCGGGUUGUAAAACUCUUUCGCCCGCGAAGAUGAUGACGGUAGCGGGAGAAGAAGCCCCGGCUAACUCCGUGCCAGCAGCCGCGGUAAUACGGAGGGGGCUAGCGUUGUUCGGAAUUACUGGGCGUAAAGGGCGCGUAGGCGGCCGCAGCAGUCAGGCGUGAAAGCCCCGGGCUCAACCUGGGAACUGCGCUUGAGACGCUGUGGCUGGAGGUCGGGAGAGGAGAGCGGAAUUCCCAGUGUAGAGGUGAAAUUCGUAGAUAUUGGGAAGAACACCGGUGGCGAAGGCGGCUCUCUGGCCCGUACCUGACGCUGAGGCGCGAAAGCGUGGGGAGCAAACAGG